UUAACAGUCCUUGAAAACGUACAGUCUGAAUCGGACCGACCAAAAGGCGACUUUCACCCCGAGCAAUAAUGUCUAUUGAAACAGAGAGAUUGUUGAAACUAAAAGAAGAUAAAGAGGACUUUCACACCAAAGUUAUAGAGAUGUUUUUUCCAGAAGGAUAGGCGAAUGGACUUAACCUAAUUUACAAGUAAAGAUUGAAUCCCCGCCCCGUUGGUCACAUCGCCCGCCAGCCAUUCGUGCUCGACUCAAUCCUCAGCAGCUUUGUGUGAGUCGCGUCCGGGAUGGGGAGCGCCCGCUCGCAGGCAGACAGCCCACUGGGAAGCAGCGUCCACCCAGCUCGGGGCUUUAUUGCCUCCAUCUGUUUCCUGUGAGCCAACUCCAGCUGCGGCCAAAUAACAGCGGUGCAUUUGGGAAAAUUCAGCAGCCCAAUUUAGUAGUCGUAGGCACUCUCCAUUGUACUGAGGCUCCCUUUCGCUGCAUUUCCCGUAUUGGCGGAGUCCUAAAUCUUUGGAUAAAUUGCGCCUCUUCUUUCUUUUAUUUAUUCGUCUGCGUUUGGG
Long non-coding RNA from Gasterosteus aculeatus aculeatus (three-spined stickleback), 557 nucleotides. NCBI's taxonomy places the organism in Eukaryota, Metazoa, Chordata, Actinopteri, Perciformes, Gasterosteidae. The record is from Ensembl.